Molecule: transfer RNA, 77 nt
Filed under: Bacillus thuringiensis
Lineage: Bacteria; Bacillati; Bacillota; Bacilli; Caryophanales; Bacillaceae
Description: tRNA-Asn
Rfam family: tRNA
About the family: Transfer RNA (tRNA) molecules are approximately 80 nucleotides in length. Their secondary structure includes four short double-helical elements and three loops (D, anti-codon, and T loops).
Source: RNAcentral
GUGUCUGUAGCUCAGUUGGUUAGAGCAAUCGCCUGUUAAGCGAUGAGUCGGAGGUUCGAGUCCUCCUAGACACGCCA